GACGAACGCUGGCGGCGUGCUUAACACAUGCAAGUCGAACGAUAAGGCCCUUCGGGGUACACGAGUGGCGAACGGGUGAGUAACACGCGGGUGAUCUGCCCUGCACUUCGGGAUAAGCCUGGGAAACUGGGUCUAAUACCGGAUAGGACUCCUGGCUUCAUGGUUGGGGGUGGAAAGCUUUUGCGGUGUGGGAUGGGCCCGCGGGCUCUCAGCUUGUUGGUGGGGUAAUGGCCUUCCAAAGCGACGACGGGUAGCCGGCCUGAGAGGGUGACCGGUCACACUGGGACUGAGAUACGGCCCAGACUCCUACGGGAGGCAGCAGUGGGGAAUAUUGCACAAUGGGCGCAAGCCUGAUGCAGCGACGCCGCGUGAGGGAUGACGGCCUUCGGGUUGUAAACCUCUUUCAGCUAUGACGAAGCGCAAGUGACGGUAGUAGCAGAAGAAGGACCGGCCAACUACGUGCCAGCCGCCGCGGUAA
RNAcentral lists this ribosomal RNA (478 nucleotides) under uncultured bacterium. RNAcentral describes it as "partial 16S ribosomal RNA". It matches the Rfam family "Bacterial small subunit ribosomal RNA", at positions 28 to 523 of the family's 1533-position model. The record is from RNAcentral.